ACUUCUGUAGCUUAACGGUAAAGCAUUAUUCUAACUAAAUAAGAUUAUGGGUUCGAAUCCCGUCAGAAGUC
RNAcentral lists this transfer RNA (71 nucleotides) under Bacteriophage sp. RNAcentral describes it as "tRNA-Val". It matches the Rfam family "tRNA". Rfam says of the family: Transfer RNA (tRNA) molecules are approximately 80 nucleotides in length. Their secondary structure includes four short double-helical elements and three loops (D, anti-codon, and T loops). The record is from RNAcentral.